GCACCGGCUAACUCCGUGCCAGCAGCCGCGGUAAUACGGAGGGUGCAAGCGUUAUCCGGAUUCACUGGGUUUAAAGGGUGCGUAGGUGGGCAGUUAAGUCAGUGGUGAAAUCUCCGGGCUCAACCCGGAAACUGCCAUUGAUACUAUCUGUCUUGAAUAUCGUUGAGGUAAGCGGAAUAUGUCAUGUAGCGGUGAAAUGCUUAGAUAUGACAUAGAACACCAAUUGCGAAGGCAGCUUGCUAACCGAAUAUUGACACUGAGGCACGAAAGCGUGGGGAUCAAACAGGAUUAGAUACCCUGGUAGUCCACGCCCUAAACGAUGGAUACUCGACAUACGCGAUAUACAGUGUGUGUCUGAGCGAAAGCAUUAAGUAUCCCACCUGGGAAGUACGACCGCA
Molecule: ribosomal RNA, 398 nt
Filed under: uncultured bacterium
Lineage: Bacteria
Description: bacterial SSU rRNA
Rfam family: Bacterial small subunit ribosomal RNA
Source: RNAcentral